UUAUUGAGAAUUCAUCUUUCUCUGAGUUUACAUUUGUCUUUUCCCCCCUCCCUCUUCAGUAUAUUUAAGUUUUACGGUAUUAUUUAUCUUCACUUUCCUUUUAACUUUCUGAGCAUCUCCUGAGGGUGACAAUAGAAUUUUCUCCUAAGAAAGAAACGUUAACUCUUCUCUUUCUAUUCUGCAGUCAUGCUUAUUAUAGACACACAGGCACAAAGAGAUGUAAUUACCCCUCACUAUUCAUUUGUGUCCAGAUUUAUUGGUUUAAUUACAUCAUCAGAAUGCACUCUACAAGAAUAGCCUUUAUAGCAAAUAUAAUAAUGUGGACAGUAGUCUACAAAAGGCUUUUCACAGCCACUAAUUCAAGUUAUAAAUUUUUUAAUGAUCCCCCCAAAACAGAUGGAGAAAAUAAUAUCCUCUGAGGAUGUAACUGAGGCCUAAAAAUAUUGUUUCAAAAAAAAAAAAAAUCAAAGGGCCUUAUCUUAUGGAUAUAUUCCAAUCCUUUUUGCCUAUUUUGGUUUUAAAAUUCCUAAAGAGUAGAAAUGUCAUCAUUGCAAUGAUCUGUCCACUGUCUAUUCAUGUCAGUAAUCAAAUAUCAACAUUUAUGAUUAUUUCUGAUAUUGCUGUCUAAAGAUUAAAAAAUCAUCAAUAUCUCAAUGGUUAGUGAGAAAGAAAAUAAAAUUGUCCAAAGCUUUUAGAUUUAACUGAAGAGGAUCAGGAUGACUCAAAACAAACAGUUGUAAAAUAGACUUCUGCUCCAUUGUAUGAUAAUAAUAAAAAAAUACUCAGAACAAUAGUUUGAAAGAAGAUAUAUAAAGCAGUAUUUAAAAAAAUACUCCAACCACAGUGGGAAAGGAUAUUUUUAAUACCUGUACUAUGAAGAUAGGCCAUUUGGGAGGAAAGAUUAUGUCACAAAUCAAAACAUAUUUGAUAGAUCAAAGUCAGUUUCAGCAAUUUGUGGCUCCUGAAGCAAUCAAUAAUGUCCAGCUACACAAAAAGCUUGUCCAAUUAGAUGAUGGACUCAGAUAAAUCACCCUGACACACACAUCUUAAGCCCUGAAUGAAGGCGCUAUCAACCCCUUCCAUAACUUUAGAGAGUUUGUGAGGCAAACCUGAAAAAGAAUAAGAAUAUAAAGACAAUUAACAAAGCUGGAGUUCCCCUUGUGGCUUGAACUCAACUAGUAUCCAUAAGGAUGCAGGUUCAUUUCCUGGUCUUGCUCAGUGGGUUAAGGAUCUGGCAUUUCCAUGAGCUGUGCUGUAGGUCUCAGAUGUGGCUCAUGUCUGGCAUUGCUGUGGCUGUGGUGUAGGCCUGCAGCUGCAGCUCUGAUUUGAUCCCUAGUCUGGGAACUUCCACAUGUGGCUGGUGUGGUCCUAAAAAAGAGGAAAAAAAACCUAAAUAUGCUGUACACUUUUAUAACAAAGUAUACUGAUCAGUAUUGUAAUCAUUGUAAUAUUGUUUCUUUUUUUCUGUUUUUUAAAAUGUGUUUAAAACAUUUAAGAAAAGCUUAUAUUACACUUGUAGUUUCAGUUAAAUGAAAAAAUACUACGUUUAGCACCAAUAUUUGCAUAACAGAAGUUUUAUAAAGUUUUAGUUUAUAAACUAUUUUAGUAAUGUGUGCAUGUUUGCACAUAUAUUAAUUGUCUAAAGGUUUUUAUUUUUAUUUUUUUAAUUUUUUUAAAAUUUUUUGUCUUUUUAGGGCCGCACCCAUGACAUAUGGAGGUUCUCAGGCUACAGGUCUAAUUGGAGCUGUGCUUCUGGCCUAUGUCACAGCCACAGUGACGCCAGAUCUGAAUCACAUCUUCCACCUACACCACAGCUCAUGGCAAUGCCAGAACCUUAACCCACUGAGUGAGGCCAGGGAUUGAACCUGCAUCCUCAUAGAUGCUAGUCAGAUUCAUUUCCGCUGAGCCACAGUGGGAACUCCAAUUGACUAAAGGUUUUUAAAUUGGACUUUAGACAGGGUACAAAUGCUGAGUAAUCCUUUUCUCACAGAAGAAUCCUUCAGGCAUCAAAGAAGUUGUCAACACUGAUGAAAUGCUACAAAGUGAGAGAAAACCGAAGCUGAUUUCCACAUUUGCCUGUCCUAUGAGUAGCUCACUAGGCAGACAAUUUAAGGUACUUUAGUCACAGGAAGGUGCCGGUAUUACGUAGAAUAUCUGAAAAAUCAAUGUCAUCCAUUAGCAUUGAGCUAUUACCAUGAAGUGGGAAGAGGGAAUUUUGGAACUCUAAAUCAUAACUGCCAUUAUGUUUGCAGGUGGUCCAUACCAUAGAAAUGUUUUCUUUGAGCAAUCCUAGAAAUCCCAAAUUAUCCUGUAGAGUUGUACCUGUCAUUACGAAAAUUUUAGGUUAGGGCAAUUGGUAUUUAAAAUUUACAUAAAAUUUAUGAAUUAAACAUUUUUUAAACAUCUAUCUUCAGGCUUUAAAGUAGUCAAUCUAGAAAAACAAUAGUUUUUCUAAAUCUCAAAGGGCAAAAAUGAAUGAUUCCUGGGGGUGAAUGUGAAGAAUCCUGCGGCUUUUGGGAUAGUUUUUGGUUUUUACUUUGCCUCGUGGACAUUAAAAGCCAAAGGAAUCUCUCUGCCUGAUGAGUUUGAAUCAUGAAAACUGGAACAGUUCAGUUUGUGCACAUAGUUU
RNAcentral lists this long non-coding RNA (2629 nucleotides) under Sus scrofa (pig). RNAcentral describes it as "lncRNA (ENSSSCG00060047413.1)". Lineage: Eukaryota; Metazoa; Chordata; Mammalia; Artiodactyla; Suidae. The record is from RNAcentral.